GAUGCAACGCGAAAAACCUUACCCACCUUUGACAUGUACGGAAGUCGCUAGAGAUGGCUUCGUGCUCGAAAGAGAGCCGUAACACAGGUGCUGCAUGGCUGUCGUCAGCUCGUGUCGUGAGAUGUUGGGUUAAGUCCCGCAACGAGCGCAACCCUUGUCAUUAGUUGCUACAUUCAGUUGGGCACUCUAAUGAGACUGCCGGUGACAAACCGGAGGAAGGUGGGGAUGACGUCAAGUCCUCAUGGCCCUUAUAGGUGGGGCUACACACGUCAUACAAUGGCUGGUACAAAGGGUUGCCAACCCGCGAGGGGGAGCUAAUCCCAUAAAGCCAGUCGUAGUCCGGAUCGCAGUCUGCAACUCGACUGCGUGAAGUCGGAAUCGCUAGUAAUCGUGGAUCAGAAUGUCACGGUGAAUACGUUCCCGGGUCUUGUACACACCGCCCGUCACACCAUGGGAGCGGGUUCUGCCAGAAGUAGUUAGCCUAACCGCAAGGAGGGCGAUUACCACGGCAGGGUUCGUGACUGGGGUGAAGUCGUAACAAGGUAACCG
RNAcentral lists this ribosomal RNA (549 nucleotides) under uncultured bacterium. RNAcentral describes it as "bacterial SSU rRNA". It matches the Rfam family "Bacterial small subunit ribosomal RNA", at positions 953 to 1502 of the family's 1533-position model. The record is from RNAcentral.